UAAACAGGUAAACCUCCCUAUGCGUAACUAAGGAAGCACAGAAUUCUAGGGAUAUGCUGGCAAACCAACAUCAACAUAUGUUUAUUUGUAGUUAGUGAUGAAUUCUCAGAAAACGAUACUCUAGAAAUCAUGAAAGUAAAACAGUUGAUGGCAUGGAUCACACCAAAGAUCUUUCAUAUCAUUAGCUUAGAAAUAUGUUGCUACACUAAAUAAUUAAACAACGGCAUGCUAAUUAUUAAUAAUAAAAAAGAAGCAAAAUAAGUACAGGGAAACAGAGAAAAGAUGGAUGCCAUCUCACAUUGUAAUUGUUUUGGUCAUGAA
Molecule: unclassified non-coding RNA, 321 nt
Filed under: Hevea brasiliensis (rubber tree)
Lineage: Eukaryota; Viridiplantae; Streptophyta; Magnoliopsida; Malpighiales; Euphorbiaceae
Source: RNAcentral